UCCCUCAAUAUCCUCAUCGCAUAAAAGAUAAUUAGUUUUCUUGCUAACAGAUCCAGUAACACGACCCCCAUGUCGUUUAAUCAAAUCCUCAGCUUCUUCUCUUUCUAAACUGUCAAGCGUUCCGCUAAUUACAAAAGUCAAACCAGCUAAACAAUCAGGAGCUCCUUCAGGAACUUCCUUUUCUCCUUUGUGCGGAGGAUCUU
This 203-nucleotide unclassified non-coding RNA is filed under the name Hevea brasiliensis (rubber tree). Lineage: Eukaryota; Viridiplantae; Streptophyta; Magnoliopsida; Malpighiales; Euphorbiaceae. The record is from RNAcentral.